GUAAUUCUGUUGACUCGGAUACAGCUGGGUCCGGUUUUGAGUUUGGGUGAACCCGUAGAUCCGGAACCCGGAUCCGGAUAUCUUAUUUUAAAAUUAGUUUUUUAAUUAUUUUUAAUAUAAAUACAAAGAUCAAAAAAGAAAUUCUAAGCGCCCUAGUUUCACAUAUCACAACCACAGCCUCCAAACAUUUCCUUUCUCUUCAACUCUUUUAUUCAUCAAAUCAAAUCACCGUGCUUUGCCAAUCACAACCUUCACGGCUCUAUUCAUCAUCAUCAUCAACCGCCAUUUGUCCGGCUGUGAUAUGGUUGAAAAAGCGACAUUUGUCAUCAUCGGCAGCAUCGAUUGAAAACAUCCUCUUCAUCAUCAUGAGGGAAUGGGUUUUGCUUUGCCUUUUUCAGCUUUUUUAGCCUCUUGUUUCCUCUGAUAUGGCAGCAAAGUGAGAUCUACAAAUGCAUGACAGUUCCCACAAUUUCUCCCUCGUUUUGAUUUGUUUCCUCUGCCUUUAAUAUUUUUCUUGCAAAGGAAUAUUAUUCUUAUUAAUGAUUAUUGUAUUGUGGAUGUUUUAUUACUUAGAAACAUUGAAAUUUAACAAGUAUAUGUUUUUUAUUUUAUUAGAAUCUGGAUUUAUUUGUAUUUUAAGUUUUUUUUUUUACUUGAUUCACUAAUCCGUGUUCAAAAUUCAAUAUCCAAAAACUUGAGUUUUUUCCGGGUUAAACUUGAACCGGACCCAAUUGGA
Molecule: long non-coding RNA, 736 nt
Filed under: Citrus sinensis (sweet orange)
Lineage: Eukaryota; Viridiplantae; Streptophyta; Magnoliopsida; Sapindales; Rutaceae
Description: long non-coding RNA (CSIN_LNC004377)
Source: RNAcentral